GAACCUGAUAUGUUGAUUGCCACAUGCGAUGUGGAAUCCCUCUACACCUCAAUCAAACAUCACGAUGGGUUGGAGGCCACAGAAUUCUUCUUGAAAACUACGAGUAUGGGUGGCUCGCACGAAUGUGGAUUUUCUGGAUGUGAAGUUCCAGGUGGAUGAGACUGGUCAUCUGGGUACCAACCUAUAUCGUAAGGAAACCUCUGUAAAUGCAUUACUACAUGCAGAAUCUUCACACCCUGGCAACCUGAUAAAAAGCAUCCCAGUGGGACAGUUCCUGCGGGCGCGCAGGAUCUGUUCAUCGGAUGGGUUGUUCGAGAUACAAGCUGAAGAUCUGAGGAGAAGAUUCACAGAGAGGGGAUACAGUAACCGAUGUAUAGAGAAGGCAUACAGGAGAGCGCGUCUUUCGAAGAGAAGUGAUCUACUCUAUAAGAAACAUACUCAGCAGGAUUCUCAGCCGAUCAGGUUCAUCACAGGAUAUAACAGCAAAUGGAAAGAGAUGGAGAGAUGAAUGUUUGUUGCCCGCUGCAACUGACCCUGUUCGCGAUUAAGGAUUUAGGACAUUGGAAGGACCAUGUCAGGGAUACCACUGCCAUCCCCUUAGAUGGAUAACCCGAAACUAUGUUUAGAACUACUAUAUUGCAGUAUAUCGAUUUUAAUCUACUUUUGUAUCUUUGUAUUUGUGUAUUGACCCAUGGUGAUUAUAUAUGUAGCACAUCAUUUAUCUGGUUAUGCUAAUGUCCAGUCUUACCAUUUAUGAUUGUCCUGUAACUAAUAUCAGCAUGUAAAUAAUGCAUACUGCACCAUUAUUAUUUUUGCACUGCAUGAGCACCGAGCACUUUUUGCACUUGAGCACUUUUUAUACAUAUUAGGCUUUCCUAGUAUGCUAUGAGAUAUUUAUAUAUUCAUAUAUUUUAUAUAUUUAGGUUUGUAUAUAUGUUUUGAUGAAUUACAUAAAUCAUGCUCACU
This is a long non-coding RNA of Bufo gargarizans (Asiatic toad), 966 nucleotides long. RefSeq lists it as uncharacterized. NCBI's taxonomy places the organism in Eukaryota, Metazoa, Chordata, Amphibia, Anura, Bufonidae. The record is from RefSeq and is a predicted model, not a curated record. The transcript has 3 exons.